UUUGUGAAAGAUUUAAUCAUUGAUAAAGUUGUGACAACAAGUUUUCGUUGCUCAAAAUUUGGAUUGGCACACAAUAAAAGAACACAGUUUGGAUGGGCAAAAAUGAAUAUUUGUUUAAGCAGACCCUGCCGCAAGGGAUUUGCUUUUCAUCUCAAACAUCCAUUUCAAACUGACUAUUCUGGAGCAUUCAGCUACAGUACGACAAAUCAAAUUU
Molecule: long non-coding RNA, 214 nt
Organism: Xenia sp. Carnegie-2017
Lineage: Eukaryota; Metazoa; Cnidaria; Anthozoa; Malacalcyonacea; Xeniidae
Exons: 3
Source: RefSeq, a predicted model, not a curated record